This 1045-nucleotide long non-coding RNA is filed under the name Homo sapiens (human). Its description in RNAcentral is "HOMER3 antisense RNA 1 (HOMER3-AS1)". Lineage: Eukaryota; Metazoa; Chordata; Mammalia; Primates; Hominidae. The record is from RNAcentral.
GGAACCCAGGCCCUUCCGGUCCGGCAGCUCCUGCUGCGACUUGCAGCGUUUGGGGAAAGUUACUCACCAACUAGUCAUGCGCCUCGGAUGCCGCCGGCCACGGGGCUCCCGGAGGGGGGUCCGACACCGCCCGGUGCCCGGGAUCCCCAAUCUGGCCGGUGGAUGAGGCCCCAUCCCAUGCACCCGAGUGCGGGGGACGGGGGGGUUAAUAUUAAUUCAGGAUCCCAUCCCCACCCGAGGCAGGACACCCAGUGCACGCCCCAACUCCGGGACGCGGGCUCUGACCCUGGAACUUCCGAGAUUCCCGCGACGCCCCCUGUCUCUGGGUCCAGAACUUCGGGGGACACCUCUUCUGCCUCCUCCAACCCCAGAGAUGGGGUGUCACUAUGUUGCCCAGGCUGGUCUCCAACUCCUGGACUCAAGAGAUCUGCCUGCCUCAGCCUCUCAAAGGGCUGGGAUAACAGAUGUAAGCCACUGCAUCUGGCCUCCAAUGAGUUGUUAUGUGAAGAGAACGUGAUUGUAGAAGUUAGAGGACUCCAACCAGGCCUGAACUCUCAAGGACAGAAAUGGGUCCAACCUGGCAUGACAUCCUCUAAAUCUUUAGCUCCUGGCCUCUCAGGUGCCCCCUCCAGCUACCUCCCUCUUCCUUCUCUUCAUUCCCCAAGCCAUAGCUGGUUGGGCCAACCUCCAGACAUUAGCCUCUUUGCAAACUCCUAUUCAUCCCUCAAAGCCUCACCUUCAAUGCUCUCCUCCCCAAGAAGCUCUCUCCUCUACCUCUAGACCUUUUCCAGCCCUCUUCCCUCUUUCUGGCCCAGCCCUGACUCCUGGGAGUGUCUGUGUGCAGCUUUGACUCCCCCAGCCUGAGUGUCUCUCAAGGGCUGAGACCAGGGCCCAUGUUUCCCUAGAGUUUGUCAUCUUCCAGCAUAGUGUGGACGCAUGGGGGUCAGGCAAAGGGGGAGUUUGAUGACUCAGUACUAUUGGUGAUUUUGCAUCACUUGAAGGAGACCCUGCCUUAAAUUCAGAACUUGAAAAAAAAAAAAAAAAA